GACGAACGCUGGCGGCGUGCCUAAUACAUGCAAGUAGAACGCUGAAGGAGGAGCUUGCUCUUCUGGAUGAGUUGCGAACGGGUGAGUAACGCGUAGGUAACCUGCCUGGUAGCGGGGGAUAACUAUUGGAAACGAUAGCUAAUACCGCAUAACAGUAGAUGUUGCAUGACAUUUACUUAAAAGGUGCAAUUGCAUCACUACCAGAUGGACCUGCGUUGUAUUAGCUAGUUGGUGGGGUAACGGCUCACCAAGGCGACGAUACAUAGCCGACCUGAGAGGGUGAUCGGCCAAACUGGGACUGGGACACGGCCCAGACUCCUACGGGAGGCAGCAGUAGGGAAUCUUCGGCAAUGGACGGAAGUCUGACCGAGCAACGCCGCGUGAGUGAAGAAGGUUUUCGGAUCGUAAAGCUCUGUUGUAAGAGAAGAACGAGUGUGAGAGUGGAAAGUUCACACUGUGACGGUAUCUUAUCAGAAAGGGACGGCUAACUACGUG
This 495-nucleotide ribosomal RNA is filed under the name uncultured bacterium. RNAcentral describes it as "partial 16S ribosomal RNA". It matches the Rfam family "Bacterial small subunit ribosomal RNA", at positions 28 to 507 of the family's 1533-position model. The record is from RNAcentral.